RNAcentral lists this long non-coding RNA (700 nucleotides) under Homo sapiens (human). Lineage: Eukaryota; Metazoa; Chordata; Mammalia; Primates; Hominidae. The record is from RNAcentral.
GGCGGGCCCUGCGGGAGCAAGUACGCAGGUGUGGGGUUUGGGGGACUUUGCGGGAGAGGCUCCAGAGGAGACACUGCCAGGUCUCUGCUGGAGGGAGAUGACCACUUUAGCCCGGAAAAUAGACUGGACAUGCAAGAAACAACACGAAAAACAUGGCGUACCAGCUCGGCCAUGAGCGCCGGUGGGUGCAGUGGGGAGAGGAACUGCUUGAGGUGGACCCGCUCUCCAGGGAGUCCUCCUUCCGGCUGCGGAGGCCUGAGCCGGGUGUGGAGAAUUGCGCUCUGCUUGUCCAGCAGGAGGGAGGCCGUUCUCCUCAGGCAGAUAAAGAGAGCAAGUACUUAACGGAGACACACGGCAGCAUGGAGACGGGGGGGUCACCCCACGACCGUUGGAGCAGCUGUGGUCUUUCCACUAAGAAGUAAAGUUUGCAUCUGGUCCACACCACUGUGCUCUGAAUAUCAGAAAUGGGAAGCGGCGCCCAAUGCUUCCAGUGAGGCAAGAACAAGUCACAGCAGCACAACAUCUGCAGCUGGAGAGGGGAUCAGCCUUUUCCAGAACAUUCCCCUCCUGAGCCAAGGGGACAGUGUAGUGGAAACCAGACUCACUUCUCCCUGAGAGUUCCCAGAGGAUUCUGGAGUUGCUACAUGAAAGACGUGUUGGGAUUCUUGAAUACAAGGCACGGAGGGCCAAGGAUUUUCUU